RNAcentral lists this ribosomal RNA (763 nucleotides) under Candelabrochaete africana. RNAcentral's name for it is "eukaryotic LSU rRNA". The stretch from base 301 to 454 matches the Rfam family "5.8S ribosomal RNA". The record is from RNAcentral. Lineage: Eukaryota; Fungi; Basidiomycota; Agaricomycetes; Polyporales; Irpicaceae.
GGAUCAUUAACGAGUUUUUGAAACGGGGCUGUUGCUGGCCGGGGGGGAACCAUACUCCCUGGCAGGUGCACACCUUGACUCAAUCCACUCUUCAUACCUCUGUGCACCCUUUGUAGGUUUUCGAGGGUCUGAAGGGUCCUUGACCGGCCUGUUGGCUUGGUUGGGCCUGGAUAUGCCCUUGCCUAUGUUUCUUUGUAAACUCUUGCAAAAAGUCAUUAGAAUGUGCCUUGACGUGUGUGGCAGCGUGCAUAUGUAUGUGCAUGUCACACAUGUUGAAUAUGAUAUAAAAUAUAUAUAUACAACUUUCAGCAACGGAUCUCUUGGCUCUCGCAUCGAUGAAGAACGCAGCGAAAUGCGAUAAGUAAUGUGAAUUGCAGAAUUCAGUGAAUCAUCGAAUCUUUGAACGCACCUUGCACUCCUUGGUAUUCUGAGGAGUAUGCCUGUUUGAGUGUCGUGGAAUAUCUCACAUCGUGCCAGGUUUGACCAUGUUUUAAUACGUGUGUCUCCAGGAAUGCAUGUGGAAGUGGAGGCUUGUGCUGGAGAAUGAAGGGACCCCCCUUGUUUCUAAACAAAGGGUGUGGGGCCCUCUUUCAGCUCCUCUGAAAAUCAUUAGCACCAAUGUUAUCAUAGUGCUGCCGUCCUCAGUGUGAUAAUCAUGUCUGCGCUGUGGGGUGUGGUGCUGCUGUGUGUGUGCUUCUAAUGGUCCCCUCGUGGGACAAUAAACAAUUCCUGUUUGACAUUUGACCUCAAAUCAGGUAGGACU